RNAcentral lists this unclassified non-coding RNA (378 nucleotides) under plant metagenome. RNAcentral's name for it is "partial contains 5.8S ribosomal RNA, internal transcribed spacer 2, and large subunit ribosomal RNA". The stretch from base 1 to 105 matches the Rfam family "5.8S ribosomal RNA", at positions 50 to 154 of the family's 154-position model. The record is from RNAcentral.
GAAAUUCGAUAAGUAAUGUGAAUUGCAGAAUUCAGUGAAUCAUCGAAUCUUUGAACGCACCUUGCGCUCCUUGGUAUUCCUUGGAGCAUGCCUGUUUGAGUAUCAUGAAAUCUUCAAAGUAAAUCUUUUGUUAACUCAAUUGGUUUCUACUUUGGUAUUGGAGGUCUUUGCAGCUUCACACCUGCUCCUCUUUGUUCAUUAGCUGGAUCUCAGUGUUAUGCUUGGUUCCACUCGGCGUGAUAAGUUAUCUAUCGCUGAGGACACUGUAAAAGGUGGCCAAGGUAAAUGCAGAUGAACCGCUUCUAAUAGUCCAUUGACUUGGACAAUACUUUUAUGAUCUGAUCUCAAAUCAGGUAGGAAUACCCGCUGAACUGAAGC